UACGUAGGGUGCAAGCGUUAAUCGGAAUUACUGGGCGUAAAGGGUGCGCAGGCGGUUAGUUAAGUCAGCGGUGAAAUCCCCGGGCUCAACCUGGGAAUGGCCGUUGAGACUGGCAAGCUAGAGUGUAUCAGAGGGGGGUAGAAUUCCACGUGUAGCAGUGAAAUGCGUAGAGAUGUGGAGGAACACCGAUGGCGAAGGCAGCCCCCUGGGAAAGCACUGACGCUCAAGCACGAAAGCGUGGGGAGCAAACAGG
RNAcentral lists this ribosomal RNA (253 nucleotides) under uncultured bacterium. Its description in RNAcentral is "partial 16S ribosomal RNA". It matches the Rfam family "Bacterial small subunit ribosomal RNA", at positions 524 to 776 of the family's 1533-position model. The record is from RNAcentral.